AUUGAACGCUGGCGGAAUGCUUUACACAUGCAAGUCGAACGGCAGCACGGACUUCGGUCUGGUGGCGAGUGGCGAACGGGUGAGUAAUACAUCGGAACGUGCCCAGUCGUGGGGGAUAACGUAGCGAAAGCUACGCUAAUACCGCAUACGAUCUAAGGAUGAAAGCGGGGGAUCGCAAGACCUCGCGCGAUUGGAGCGGCCGAUGGCAGAUUAGGUAGUUGGUAGGGUAAAGGCCUACCAAGCCGACGAUUUGUAGCUGGUCUGAGAGGAUGAUCAGCCACACUGGGACUGAGACACGGCCCAGACUCCUACGGGAGGCAGCAGUGGGGAAUUUUGGACAAUGGGCGCAAGCCUGAUCCAGCCAUUCCGCGUGCAGGAUGAAGGCCUUCGGGUUGUAAACUGCUUUUGUACAGAACGAAAAGGCUCUGGUUAAUACCCGGGGCUCAUGACGGUACUGUAAGGAUAAGCACCGGCUAACUACGUGCCAGCCGCCGCCGUAA
RNAcentral lists this ribosomal RNA (500 nucleotides) under uncultured bacterium. RNAcentral describes it as "partial 16S ribosomal RNA". It matches the Rfam family "Bacterial small subunit ribosomal RNA", at positions 30 to 523 of the family's 1533-position model. The record is from RNAcentral.